This is a non-coding RNA of Lactuca sativa (garden lettuce), 1190 nucleotides long. The record is from RefSeq and is a predicted model, not a curated record. NCBI's taxonomy places the organism in Eukaryota, Viridiplantae, Streptophyta, Magnoliopsida, Asterales, Asteraceae.
UUAAUAAAGAAAUGAAAAAUCAAGUAAAUAUUGAUCCAAGGUUUUGGGGUUUUGGAAUUGGGAUGGGAUCUUGAUUCUUGAAUUAAAAAGAAAAACAAAAGAUGCAAAAUUUUCAUUCAACCGAGAAGAAGUAGGGAGAUGCCCGCUAACAUAUUUGGCACGAAAUUCAAAACCCUCAAAAUCUUCCCCAAAAUUCAACCAAGCGCUCCUUUUAUCCCCAAUUUCUUGCCCCCAAAAACCAUUUAUGAGAUUUUUACAACUCUUUCUCAGAUUCAAUUGCAGUAGCAACAAAGCUCACUCCUUUCUUCACCCUAUGUUCAUCUACUGCUGCUUGCACAAUUCACUCAAUAGCCCAAAACUUUAACUAAUUUCGGCUAAAUCUUUCCUUCCACCUUGUAGGGUUUUCGGUUGUUUCUUGAUCUGUACCCGUGUUUCUAUAUACAUACAUAAACAGCGUCUGAAUUUCGACACGAAUCUACGCUUACUCAGGUUUUGAAUUUCCGACUUUUGUGGGGUUUAAUGGCUUCCGAUAUGGAAACCCUAGAGAGUGAAAAACAUGAAGAUGUUCCCGACGUCGAAAUGAAGGACAACGAGGAAUCCGAAAAGGAAGGCGAAGAAGAGCAAGAGACUAAAGAAAAAGACGAAGAGAUCGAGGACGAAGAAGAAGCUAAAGACAAAGAGAGCGAAGAUGAAGAAGAAUAAGAUAGCGCGAAAAAAGCCGAAGGCCGUUCGAAGAAAAAGAAGAUCGAUUCGAGUUCUAAAUCACCUGAUACGCCGACUGAGAGACCAACCAGGGAAAGGAAGACCGUCGAACACUAUACGACAAUCAUCAAUCUUUCUGUCACCAAAUUGAUUUCCUUACAACAGGUAUGUUACGAUGGAAAUCCCCUUUAUCUUUUAUUGUUGUUCUGAUUAGAAAUCGUGUAAGUUUUCUUACUCGCGUUUGUACGAAUGGAUACAAGGCCCCAGAUCUUAGCUCAAGGAAAUUCCGAACGAAAUUUGAAGCUUGUAACUUCUGAGAGAUAGGUUAGUUUGAUGUAUAGGUUAGAGUGAGUUCUUUCUAAGUUGUAAUUGUAUCCAAGAAUUCUUGACAUAAUAUGAGAGUUCUUUUUUUUAUUUUUGGGUUUAAUUUAUGUAUUUUUGACAUUAUGUUUGAUUCUUUUCUAAUAGAAACUGGUCAUGUUGUUAAA